AAACAAUAAAGAACUGACCUAGAACCAUACCGAAAUUUUAGUUCGAUUCCGAUUUCCGGGCAAACUUCAAACUGAAUUGAAACCUCACACGCUAGGAUCUACACAUAUUUCCAAAUUCAUAAUUCAAGGCAUAAAAGAUGGUAUAAAUCGUAUUUCAUCACAAAGUACAAAUCUUUCCAAUGCAAAACCUAUAUCAAAUUCACCACAAUCAGCACACAUUUCAACAAAUUGCACUUCUUGAACAUCAUAAUCCUUGUGGCAAUGAAAAAGAACAUAACAGAAAUGCAGACAGAAUUCCUUCGCAUUUAUCUGCAUCACUUCUCCUUCAAUAUAGCAUGAAUCAGACACCAAGAAAGCCCUUCUCUUUCAGGCAUUCAAUGGUGUCCAAAACACUCACCUCCAAGGGAAUGAAGUUGAUGCCUAAACUCUUAGCUUUCUCCUUUGAAAUCUCAUAUUUCAAUGCGAAAGGCUUGCCAUCUUCACGUUUCUCAGGAAGAUGCAGAGUAGGGUAUUGCUCAUGGACGAUCUUCAACAACUCUGAGAAAUGUACAACUCUUUCGACUAAGCAAUAUCUGCCAUUAGCAGAAGGUUGUUCAAAAGCUUGAAUAUGUGCAGAUGCAACAUCUCUAACAUCAACAAAUCUGUAAAUUUCAUUAGGAAAUGUUUCUCCAUUUAUGUAGUUCAGAAUAACCUCCACAGUGAGAUUUAGAGUUGGCUGUAAGAAAGGACCUAUCACAAACCCUGGAUGUAUUGUGACCAUGUCAAUUCCAAUUUCUUUUGCAAAUUUCCAAGCAGCCUUUUCGGCUAUGGUUUUUGCAUACAGAUACCAAUGCUUUAUUGACUCACAAUGGGCAGGAUCUGAAAACCAAGUCUCAUCAAUUACCACAUCAGGAGUCAGAGGCUUUCCAUUGAACAUAACUGAUGCCAUUGAAGAUGUUAUGAUCACUCUCUUGAGAGAAGGGACUUUUGCACAUGACCUGAGAACGUUUAGUGUUCCCUUCACUGCAGGAUCA
This 1013-nucleotide unclassified non-coding RNA is filed under the name Hevea brasiliensis (rubber tree). Lineage: Eukaryota; Viridiplantae; Streptophyta; Magnoliopsida; Malpighiales; Euphorbiaceae. The record is from RNAcentral.